RNAcentral lists this transfer RNA (67 nucleotides) under Felis catus (domestic cat). The record is from Rfam by way of RNAcentral. Lineage: Eukaryota; Metazoa; Chordata; Mammalia; Carnivora; Felidae.
ACCUGUGUGGCUCAGUCGGUUGAGCGUCUGACUUUGGCUCAGGUCACAAUCUUGUGGUUCACAAGUU